RNAcentral lists this ribosomal RNA (391 nucleotides) under uncultured bacterium. RNAcentral's name for it is "bacterial SSU rRNA". It matches the Rfam family "Bacterial small subunit ribosomal RNA", at positions 133 to 518 of the family's 1533-position model. The record is from RNAcentral.
CGAGAGGGGAAUAACCCGGCGAAAGUCGGACUAAUACCGCAGUAAAACAGGGGCACCGCAUAGGUGAUAUUUGUUAAAGAAAUUCGCUGAUAGAUGGGCAUGCGUUCCAUUAGGUAGUUGGUGAGGUAACGGCUCACCAAGCCGACGAUGGAUAGGGGAACUGAGAGGUUGGUCCCCCACACUGGUACUGAGACACGGACCAGACUCCUACGGGAGGCAGCAGUGAGGAAUAUUGGUCAAUGGGCGGGAGCCUGAACCAGCCAAGUCGCGUGAAGGAAAAGAAGGAUCUAUGGUUCGUAAACUUCUUUUGCAGGGGAAUAAAGUGCAGGACGUGUCCUGUUUUGUAUGUACCCUGAGAAUAAGGAUCGGCUAACUCCGUGCCAGCAGCAGC